Molecule: ribosomal RNA, 406 nt
Filed under: uncultured bacterium
Lineage: Bacteria
Description: partial 16S ribosomal RNA
Rfam family: Bacterial small subunit ribosomal RNA
Source: RNAcentral
AUUGAACGCUGGCGGCAGGCCUAACACAUGCAAGUCGAACGAGUGGCGGACGGGUGUGUAAUGUCUGGGAAACUGCCUGAUGGAGGGGGAUAACUACUGGAACCGGUAGCUAAUCCCGCAUACCAUCAGAUGUGCCCAGAUGGGAUUAGCUAGUUGGUGGGGUAACGGCUCACCAAGGCGACGAUCCCUAGCUGGUCUGAGAGGAUGACCAGCCACACUGGAACUGAGACACGGUCCAGACUCCUACGGGAGGCAGCAGUGGGGAAUAUUGCACAAUGGGCGCAAGCCUGAUGCAGCCAUGCCGCGUGUAUGAAGAAGGCCUUCGGGUUGUAAAGUACUUUCAGCGGGGAGGCGUUACCUACUGAAGAAGCACCGGCUAACUCCGUGCCAGCAGCCGCGGUAAUAC